GACGAACGCUGGCGGCGUGCCCAAUACAUGCAAGUUGAGCGCUGAAGGUUGGUACUUGUACCAACUGGAUGAGCAGCGAACGGGUGAGUAACGCGUGGGGAAUCUGCCUUUGAGCGGGGGACAACAUUUGGAAACGAAUGCUAAUACCGCAUAAAAACUUUAAACACAAGUUUUAAGUUUGAAAGAUGCAAUUGCAUCACUCAAAGAUGAUCCCGCGUUGUAUUAGCUAGUUGGUGAGGUAAAGGCUCACCAAGGUGAUGAUACAUAGCCGACCUGAGAGGGUGAUCGGCCACAUUGGGACUGAGACACGGCCCAAACUCCUACGGGAGGCAGCAGUAGGGAAUCUUCGGCAAUGGACGAAAGUCUGACCGAGCAACGCCGCGUGAGUGAAGAAGGUUUUCGGAUCGUAAAACUCUGUUGGUAGAGAAGAACGUUGGUGAGAGUGGAAAGCUCAUCAAGUGACGGUAACUACCCAGAAAGGGACGGCUAACUACGUG
Molecule: ribosomal RNA, 497 nt
Filed under: uncultured bacterium
Lineage: Bacteria
Description: partial 16S ribosomal RNA
Rfam family: Bacterial small subunit ribosomal RNA
Source: RNAcentral